Molecule: non-coding RNA, 642 nt
Organism: Paramuricea clavata
Lineage: Eukaryota; Metazoa; Cnidaria; Anthozoa; Malacalcyonacea; Plexauridae
Source: the annotation of a GenBank genome assembly
AUCUGUUCCAAGCUCGUUCUAAUUUUUUCAAACACACUUGGCUUUGUGAGUUUGUGCCGCUAUGUUUCUUUGCUUAACUACGACAUUUUCAUUCAGCCAGGUACACCAUCAAAUUGAUCAAAAUGUCAAAUGUAUAAUGAUAAUGAGAAUUGGAGCUAUUUCGUUUCAGAUAUAUUAAUAUACUUAGGGAAAUAAAUGAAACUAAUUUCCCUUUUCCCCCAGAAUUUGGGCGUCCAAAGGCGUCCAUUUUUUGUUCUAGGGGCGUCCCUGUACGCCCUUCUGGCUAAAAGCCUGCUCUAAAUCAAGCUUGGCGGCCAUUGACACUUGUUGGCUGAACAAAUUUUAACAAAAACUAUAAAGAAGGUGUUUGAAGUGUAAUAUAGACAACUUCUCAUUCAUUUAAAAUAUGUUUUUGAGCAUGUGAUUAUGACUAGGCAUGAACUAUAAUACAUAUAUUAUUUAAUUGUCAUUUAUAAUAAUUGAUAAAAAGUUGUCAAAAUGUCAAUGUUUUGUACAUGUUAUUGUAGCAUUGCCAAACGAAUUUAAGGCUAGUGAAGGCUAGUGUACAACAUUGUUUUAUCCAAGAUGUACUUUAAAUGCAACAAUUGGUUUAAACUGAUAAUCAGUUUCGACUUACAAAAC